Molecule: ribosomal RNA, 370 nt
Filed under: uncultured bacterium
Lineage: Bacteria
Description: bacterial SSU rRNA
Rfam family: Bacterial small subunit ribosomal RNA
Source: RNAcentral
AACGAACGCUGGCGGAAUGCUUUACACAUGCAAGUCGAACGGUAGAGGGGGCAACCCCUUGAGAGUGGCGAACGGGUGAGUAAUAUAUCGGAACGUGCCCAGUCGUGGGGGAUAACGUAGCGAAAGUUACGCUAAUACCGCAUACGAUCUAAGGAUGAAAGGCGGGGGAUCGCAAGACCUCGCGCGAUUGGAGCGGCCGAUAUCAGAUUAGGUAGUUGGUGAGGUAAGGCUCACCAAGCCGACGAUCUGUAGCUGGUCUGAGAGGACGACCAGCCACACUGGGACUGAGACACGGUCCAGACUCCUACGGGAGGCAGCAGGUGGGGAAUUUUGGACAAUGGACGCAAGUCUGAUCCAGCCAUUCCGCGUG